This 2015-nucleotide long non-coding RNA is filed under the name Solanum tuberosum (potato). RNAcentral describes it as "long non-coding RNA (STUB_LNC006532)". The record is from RNAcentral. Lineage: Eukaryota; Viridiplantae; Streptophyta; Magnoliopsida; Solanales; Solanaceae.
UACGAAAUUGCUAUUUACAAGAUCAAAAAUAGGUAAAAUAUUUAAUUGAUUUAAUGAACACGUCUAUUUGAAAUGACGAUAUGACACCCAUAACCUUUAAAUCUUGGAUCCGCCUCUAAUUAAAUCAUCAUGAAAACCAUUAAGCAUGUUGCAUAAGAAAAGCUAAUAACUAACUCUCUUUCUCUUCAUGUCCUGAUUCAAAUAAAGCUCGUACAUGAACCUCCGAGUUAGACCUUGCAGACGUCCAUGGCGGUUCAUGCUCAAUUUGCGAUCUAUUCAUUAACUCUCCAUGUCUCUUUCCAAGUGUUGAUCACUAUUAUCAAGGACGGACACACGUUAUAUAAAGGGGUGUCACCCGACACUUCUUGAUCAAAUUUUUUUUUUAUAUAUAAUAUAUGGUAAAAGUGAACAGAGAAAUUUAAUAAAAAUGACUUUAUUUCAACGUUUGAGCUUCCUAGCUCUGUGGCAAGUGCGCUACUAGUAAACUAUGCAGCACGAGUUCAGACCUUUAUAGUGAUGGAUUUUCAUUUUUUUUGUUUAUAAUAAAAUGACUCCCUUUUAUCUUUAAAAAUAUCUGAUUUUGAGUUAGGCUCGAUUUGACAACUUAUUUAAAUGUCGACAUCGCGUACCAUCAAGUAAUACUCCUACUCCUCAUCAUGACCACAUAUAUCUAAUUGUACAAUAUAACUUAGACCUCAUUUGUUUUCAUUAAGAUUAAAACCUCUGAAUCUGAAUGUACAUCUAAAUGAUUAAAAUGUUGUCUCUAGAUCUGAACACUGAAUGCUUAAGACUGUUUGUUUUUUAGUAUUUGAAUGUAUAUAAUUCAUAACUAUAUAAGCAUAAUAACUAUAUAAUUCAAAUAAAAUUAUAUUUUGGUGUUUAUCUAAUAAAAUAAUUUUAAAAAAUUAUUACGUGAUUAAAAUUUAAUAUUUUUAAAUAAAUAGUUUCGGUUUGUAUGUAAGAAUUUUAAAAAACAACCUCAAAUUAAUAAUUUUUUUAUACAUGUGUGUAAAUAUCCUCGUGUUAUAAUUUGAAGAAGUUCUUGGCAUAGAUCCAAAAACAUAUCAGAAUAAAAAAGGCAACCCAAACAAAUGUAUAACCUCUUAUUAACUAGAAUAAGUUCUUAAUUUUAUAAAUAAUAAUAUUACUAUGUGAAGUUAAACGCUUAGUGAGAAUACAAAAAAAAAAAGUAGUAUGUAAGAAUAAAAAAAAGACAACCCUAAAUUAAUAAUCGCUCUCUUGUGUUAUAAUUUGUUAUAAUUUGGUGUUACACUACUAAUUUUAUAUAUUGAGACGUUAUUGGGGAUAGAUCCAAAAAUAUAUAAGAAUAAAAAAAGGCUAACCAAACAAACGUCGAACCUCUUAUUAACUAGAACUAGUUCUUAGUUUUAUAAAUACUAAUAUUACAAUAUGAAGUUAAAUGAUUGGUGCCUUUUGAAAAUAUAAACAAAAAACAAGUAAUAUCUAAGAAUAAAAAAGGCAACCCUAAAUUAAUAAUAUUUUUAUGCAUGUGUGUAAAUAUUUAAGGUCUCCUUUUAUAAUUUGGUGUUAGGCUUUUAAUUUUAUUGAGAGGUUCUUGGCAUCACAUUUUCUUUUAGAAAAAAAAAACAAACAUAAUACCAAACUUUUCUAGCACAGACUUUGUAUUAUCAAAUAAGCACACGAGACUACUAAAUUUUAUAAACAAAAUCUAAAAUUGUAAGUAAAAUUUUAGAGUUCUUGAGAAGCAAACAGUAAUACCAAGAAUAUUUCAAAGAUACUAAUUAAUAACAAAGUAUUUAUAAAAAGUUUUUUGAAAACAUACCUGUUCAAGAGGAAGAAAAUUCAACUCCGAGCUGAAAGAGUAAUAAUGGAGAGAUGGAGAGAGAGAGCAACGCAUAUAAGAGAAAAAAUAACAAUGCAUGGUGAUAAUGGAGAGAGUGGAAGAGACGGCAACAUAUAUAGGGAGAAAAAAUAAGGAUGUUUGAGUUUUGCAAGGAUAUAAAUUAGCGUUAAAAAGAGUCUGAAUAGAAAUA